UACGUAAAACGCGAACGUUAUCCGGAAUUAUUAAACGUAAAGAGCUCGUAGGCGGCUUGUCACGUCGGCUGUGAAAGCCCGGGGCUUAACCCCGGGUCUGCAGUCGAUACGGGCAGGCUAGAGUUCGGUAGGGGAGAUCGGAAUUCCUGGUGUAGCGGUGAAAUGCGCAGAUAUCAGGAGGAACACCGGUGGCGAAGGCGGAUCUCUGGGCCGAUACUGACGCUGAGGAGCGAAAGCGUGGGGAGCGAAC
This 250-nucleotide ribosomal RNA is filed under the name uncultured bacterium. RNAcentral's name for it is "partial 16S ribosomal RNA". It matches the Rfam family "Bacterial small subunit ribosomal RNA", at positions 524 to 773 of the family's 1533-position model. The record is from RNAcentral.